AAGACUAUAUCUUCAGGCAUCAUUUCUAUAGUUUGUUACUAGAGAAGUUUCUCUGAUUGUGCAGAGCACCCGAAACCAUGAGGAGGAGCCAGAGCGUCCUCCCCUGAGCAGGAAGCCAGUUCUAGGUGGUUGCAACUGCCUCUUAUCAUGAAUGAUUGUUCUCUUCCCUUGGAAGAGUGAGUGGGAGAUGAUGCAAUCUCAGUGGU
Molecule: small nucleolar RNA, 206 nt
Organism: Sorex araneus (European shrew)
Lineage: Eukaryota; Metazoa; Chordata; Mammalia; Eulipotyphla; Soricidae
Product: small nucleolar RNA U3
Exons: 1
Source: RefSeq, a predicted model, not a curated record